GACGAACGCUGGCGGCGUGCCUAAUACAUGCAAGUCGAACGCUUUUUCUUUCACCGGAGCUUGCUCCACCGAAAGAAAAAGAGUGGCGAACGGGUGAGUAACACGUGGGUAACUUGCCCAUCAGAAGGGGAUAACACUUGGAAACAGGUGCUAAUACCGUAUAACACUAUUUUCUGCAUGGAAGAAAGUUGAAAGGAGCUUUUGCGUCACUGAUGGAUGGACCCGCGGUGCAUUAGCUAGUUGGUGAGGUAACGGCUCACCAAGGCAACGAUGCAUAGCCGACCUGAGAGGGUGAUCGGCCACACUGGGACUGAGACACGGCCCAGACUCCUACGGGAGGCAGCAGUAGGGAAUCUUCGGCAAUGGACGAAAGUCUGACCGAGCAACGCCGCGUGAGUGAAGAAGGUUUUCGGAUCGUAAAACUCUGUUGUUAGAGAAGAACAAGGAUGAGAGUAAAAUGUUCAUCCCUUGACGGUAUCUAACCAGAAAGCCACGGCUAACUACGUGCCAGCCGCCGCAGUAA
Molecule: ribosomal RNA, 523 nt
Filed under: uncultured bacterium
Lineage: Bacteria
Description: partial 16S ribosomal RNA
Rfam family: Bacterial small subunit ribosomal RNA
Source: RNAcentral